RNAcentral lists this ribosomal RNA (2521 nucleotides) under marine metagenome. RNAcentral describes it as "bacterial LSU rRNA". It matches the Rfam family "Bacterial large subunit ribosomal RNA", at positions 712 to 2925 of the family's 2925-position model. The record is from RNAcentral.
GACCGAAACGAGUGAUCUACCCUGUCCAGGUUGAAGCCUGGGUAAGACCAGGUGGAGGACCGAACCGUUGAGCCUUAAAACGUUCUCGGAUGAGGUGGGGGUAGGAGUGAAAGGCUAAUCAAACUCGGAGAUAGCUGGUUCUCCCCGAAAUAUAUUGAGGUAUAGCCUCGUGAUAGACCGUCGGAGGUAGAGCACUGGAUGGACUAGGGCCCUCACCAGGGUACCAAACCCAACCAAACUGCGAAUACCGGCGAGUUGUUUCACGGGAGUCAGACAGCGGGAGCUAACUUUCGUUGUCGAAAGGGAAACAACCCAGACCAUCAGCUAAGGCCCCCAAGUCAUGACUAAGUGGGAAAGGAAGUGGGAGCGCCCAGACAACCAGGAGGUUGGCUUAGAAGCAGCCACCCUUUAAAGAUAGCGUAACAGCUCACUGGUCGAGCGAGCCUGCACCGAAAAUUUAACGGGGCUCAAGUCAUGCGCCGAAGCUAUGGGAUUUAUAUUUAUAUANAAUCGUAGGGGAGCGUUCCCUGUGCAGUGAAGCUGAAUCGAGAGGGUCAGUGGAGCGCAGGGAAGUGAGGAUGUUGGCAUAAGUAACGAAAAUGUGGGCGAGAAACCCACACGCCGAAAGCCCAAGGUUUCCCGGGCCAUGUUAUUCAGCCCGGGGUUAGUCGGCACCUAAGACGAGGCCGAAAGGCGUAGUCGAUGGAAAACCGGUUCAUAUUCCGGUACUUGCAUGUGCGCGUGAUGGAGGGACGCAGGAGGAUAGGCCGGCCUGGUGAUGGAUAUCCAGGUUCAAGGCCGUAGGCGGAAGUCUCAGGAAAAUCCGGGACUUUAUCUAACGCCGAGAGUCGAUGACGAGAGGCUUUGCUUCGCAAAGCGGUCGAUUCCACACUGCCAAGAAAAGCUUCUAAGCAUAGCAGAUGCAAACCGUACCCCAAACCGACACAGGUGGGCGGGUAGAGAAUACCAAGGCGCUUGAGGGAAAUCAUGUUAAGGAACUCUGCAAAAUAACUCCGUAACUUCGGAAGAAGGAGUGCCCGCUACGGUGAAGGGACUUGCUCCCUGAGCUUAAGUGGGCCGCAGUGACCAGGCCCAGCCGACUGUUUAGCAAAAACACAGCACUCUGCUAAAUCGCAAGAUGAUGUAUAGGGUGUGACGCCUGCCCGGUGCCGGAAGGUUAAUGGGAGGGGUUACCCCGCUUCUAAAUGGUUUUUAGAGAUAAAAACGCAUAUGCAUUAUGUUUACAUCAUUCAUAGCAAUAAUGACCAGUUCUACAUUGGAUACAGUUCUGAUUUAAGAGCAAGGAUAACUGCUCAUAAUGAAGGACGAACCAAGUCAACAAGAGGACGAAUAUGGGAGUUAGUUUACUAUGAAGCAUAUCUGGAUGAGAAAAGUGCUCGUCACAGAGAGAGAAUGUUAAAACAUGAUGGUCGCACUCGUCGAUAUUUGAUGGAGCGAGUUAAAGAAAGCGUAAAGAAUCAUUUAGUAGCGGGGGAAGCUCCGAACUGAAGCCCCGGUAAACGGCGGCCGUAACUAUAACGGUCCUAAGGUAGCGAAAUUCCUUGUCGGGUAAGUUCCGACCUGCACGAAUGGCGUAACGAUCUGGGCGCUGUCUCAAUGUGAUUCUCAGUGAAAUUGAAAUGGCGGUGAAGAUACCGUCAACCCGCGGCAAGACGGAAAGACCCCGUGCACCUUUACUGCAGCUUGGCAGUGAACUUGGGAGGAAUUUGUGUAGGAUAGGUGGGAGGCUGCGAAGGGGGGGCGCUAGUCCCUCUGGAGCCAUCCUUGAAAUACCACCCUGAUUUUUUCUGUGUUCUAACUUAGUCCCGUUAUCCGGGACAAGGACCCUGUCUGGUGGGCAGUUUGACUGGGGCGGUCGCCUCCCAAAGAGUAACGGAGGCGCGCAAUGGUUCCCUCAGCCGGUUUGGAAAUCCGGCGCAGAGUGCAAAGGCACAAGGGAGCUUGACUGCAAGAGCGACAGCUCGAGCAGGUACGAAAGUAGGUCUUAGUGAUCCGGUGGCCCCGUGUGGAAGGGCCAUCGCUCAACGGAUAAAAGGUACGCCGGGGAUAACAGGCUAAUCGCGCCCAAGAGUUCAUAUCGACGGCGCGGUUUGGCACCUCGAUGUCGGCUCAUCGCAUCCUGGGGCUGAAGCAGGUCCCAAGGGUAUGGCUGUUCGCCAUUUAAAGCGGUACGCGAGCUGGGUUCAGAACGUCGUGAGACAGUUCGGUCCCUAUCUGCCGCGGGCGCAGGAGAUCUGAGGAGGUCUGCCCUUAGUACGAGAGGACCGGGGUGGACAGACCUCUGGUGAUCCGGUUGUUCCGCCAGGAGCAUUGCCGGGUAGCUACGUCUGGAACGGAUAACCGCUGAAAGCAUCUAAGCGGGAAGCCGGCUCCAAGAGUGAUCUCCCGGACCAUCAGGUCCCCAAAGGCCGCAGGAAGAUUACCUGUUUGAUAGGCCGGAAGUGGAAGCAUGGCAACAUGUGAAGCUGACUGGUACUAAUUGGCCGGGCGGCCUGACUUA